Xiphophorus hellerii (green swordtail) is the source of this 880-nucleotide long non-coding RNA. RefSeq lists it as uncharacterized. The transcript has 7 exons. The record is from RefSeq and is a predicted model, not a curated record. NCBI's taxonomy places the organism in Eukaryota, Metazoa, Chordata, Actinopteri, Cyprinodontiformes, Poeciliidae.
GUAACAAUAAUGUUAAAAAAUCUACAGUGAUUAAUUUCAAACAUGCCUUUUUUUCUACCAAUCAUUUGUAUAUUUCCUGAUGUGUAAUAACCUUUUUUUAAUGUUAGUAGCUAUUACGUUGUGUCCUCGCUCUAUUUUGAGUGGGAAUUAACCAUGUCUCGUUUAAACUUAUCUGCAAAGUAUAAAGAUGUUGUUUUUUAAUUGUAUUAAUUUCUUUUUGUUCCUGCAGAAUUCCAUAUAUUCAGAUGUGGCCUACCCUGGAGAGACACAUCUCACUUUCAUUGCCCGAACUGUUUUUCAGCCAUUGACAGAAGGGACAGGUUUGUUAAUCAUUUGGUUAACCAGACAAUGACUUUCAAUAUGGUGUCCAGCUGUGCAUCAGCCCAGCCACCUGUCCAGCCAGCAGCUACCAACAGGAAACAGGAAACAGUCAUGUAGUCCACACCUGGUUUCCACCACUUUCCCUUGACCCAGCACUACACCUACCAGUACAUAUUUUUGCUUUGGAUGUCAGAUUCACCACAAUAUAUUAAUUUUGUGAUUUAAUUGGAAGCCGCAGGCACAAGAUCUGGACUGGGUUCUGAUUCCUGUGUGGCGUCCUGGACAUUGGACACUAUGCAGAAGUCUGUCUUCAGAUGUCAUCUGGACCAUGGACAGAAUUUGUUGGCAAUGAUGUUAAGGGAUUGCCUAAACAAGGACUGUCCAACAACUGUGUAAUGUUUGUAGUGAUGUAUGCACUACUUUGUGAUGGGAGCAUCAUUUGAUUUCAGCGAGAAUGAUAUGAUGACAAUACGAAGAUGGUGGUCUCUCACUCUCUGGAGAAACUUCCCUGUGAAUCAUGAUCAAAAAGCUUCUACUUCCUGGUUCUGUUGCUCUGAAG